CCGUCAGGGCUCCCAGAACCCAGCCUCGAUCAGCGUCCUGGACUUCCACUGAGAGCUCCUGACUGAAAGAGACAACGGGGAGAAUAACAGCAGAUCGUUCCAAGGGGAAGAAGGCCUCUAAGGUGCCUUGCCCUCUAGGAGUCGGCUGAGGCAGAGACACGUAGGUUCCCAUCCUCGUUCGUCUUCUGAAAACGUGCUAGGACGUCCUGCCUUCCUCCCCACACGGAGAAUCCCUCGCAGGUCCCCUCUCCAGAGACGGACUGCUGCCAACAUUUGGCAAACUCAGGCGUUUCCCCUGCCUGCUUGAGGGCCACAAUAUUCGUAAGUGACUGCUACAUCUCAGUGCAAACUAUGCAAUGACUGUUAUGGCACACUCUGGACCAAGGACCAGAACAGACACC
RNAcentral lists this long non-coding RNA (401 nucleotides) under Equus asinus (donkey). Its description in RNAcentral is "lncRNA (ENSEASG00005026016.1)". The record is from RNAcentral. Lineage: Eukaryota; Metazoa; Chordata; Mammalia; Perissodactyla; Equidae.